RNAcentral lists this ribosomal RNA (228 nucleotides) under uncultured bacterium. RNAcentral describes it as "partial 16S ribosomal RNA". It matches the Rfam family "Bacterial small subunit ribosomal RNA", at positions 113 to 334 of the family's 1533-position model. The record is from RNAcentral.
CAACGUAGGUAACCUGCCCAUGUGUCCGGGAUAACUGCUGGAAACGGUAGCUAAAACCGGAUAGGUAUACAGAGCGCAUGCUCAGUAUAUUAAAGCGCCCUUCAAGGCGUGAACAUGGAUGGACCUGCGGCGCAUUAGCUAGUUGGUGAGGUAACGGCCCACCAAGGCGAUGAUGCGUAGCCGGCCUGAGAGGGUAAACGGCCACAUUGGGACUGAGACACGGCCCAG